RNAcentral lists this ribosomal RNA (271 nucleotides) under uncultured prokaryote. Its description in RNAcentral is "partial 16S ribosomal RNA". It matches the Rfam family "Bacterial small subunit ribosomal RNA", at positions 524 to 794 of the family's 1533-position model. The record is from RNAcentral.
UACGGAGGAUCCGAGCAUUAUCCGGAUUUAUUGGGUUUAAAGGGUGCGCAGGCGGGAGAUUAAGUCGGCGGUGAAAUUUUGCAGCUCAACUGUAAAAGUGCCUUCGAAACUGGUUUCCUUGAGUGUAGAUGAAGUAGGCGGAAUUUGUGGUGUAGCGGUGAAAUGCAUAGAUAUCACGAGGAACUCCGAUUGCGCAGGCAGCUUACUAAACUACUACUGACGCUCAGGCACGAAGGCGUGGGGAUCAAACAGGAUUAGAUACCCCGGUAGU